Molecule: ribosomal RNA, 254 nt
Filed under: uncultured bacterium
Lineage: Bacteria
Description: partial 16S ribosomal RNA
Rfam family: Bacterial small subunit ribosomal RNA
Source: RNAcentral
UACGUAGGGAGCGAGCGUCGUCCGGAUUCAUUGGGCGUAAAGAGCUCGUAGGCGGCUUGGUAAGUCGGAUGUGAAACCUCCAGGCUCAACCUGGAGUCGCCAUCCGAUACUGCCAUGGCUAGAGUCCGGUAGGGGCCCACGGAAUUCCUGGUGUAGCGGUGAAAUGCGCAGAUAUCAGGAGGAACACCGAUGGCGAAGGCAGUGGGCUGGGCCGGCACUGACGCUGAGGAGCGAAAGCGUGGGGAGCGAACAGG